Molecule: ribosomal RNA, 460 nt
Filed under: uncultured bacterium
Lineage: Bacteria
Description: partial 16S ribosomal RNA
Rfam family: Bacterial small subunit ribosomal RNA
Source: RNAcentral
CCUACGGGUAGCAGCAGUGAGGAAUAUUGGUCAAUGGCCGAGAGGCUGAACCAGCCAAGUCGCGUGAGGGAAGAAUGUCCUCUGGAUUGUACACCUCUUUUGUCAGGGAGCAAAGUCACCCACGUGUGGCUGUUGGGGAGGCCCUGCAGAAAAAGCAUAGGCUAACUCCGUGCCAGCAGCCGCGUUAAUACGGAGGUGGCAAGCGUUGUCCGGAGUUACUGGGUGUAAAGGGCGUGUGGCCGGGUGGACAAGUCAGAUGUGAAAUCCUGCGGCUUAACCGCAGAAGUGCAUUUGAAACUGGUGAGCUUGAGUGCUGGAGAGGCAGAUGGAAUUCCUGGUGUAGCGGUGAAAUGCGUAGAUAUCAGGAAGAACACCAGUGGCGAAGGCGGUCUGCUGGACAGCAACUGACGCUGAGGCGCGAAAGCGUGGGGAGCAAACAGGAUUAGAUACCCGAGUAGUC